This 933-nucleotide ribosomal RNA is filed under the name uncultured Vibrionaceae bacterium. Its description in RNAcentral is "bacterial SSU rRNA". It matches the Rfam family "Bacterial small subunit ribosomal RNA", at positions 37 to 950 of the family's 1533-position model. Lineage: Bacteria; Pseudomonadati; Pseudomonadota; Gammaproteobacteria; Vibrionales; Vibrionaceae. The record is from RNAcentral.
UGGCGGCAGCUAACACAUGCAAGUCGACGCGGAAACGACACUAACAAUCCUUCGGGUGCGUUAAUGGGCGUCGAGCGGCGGACGGGUGAGUAAUGCCUAGGAAAUUGCCUUGAUGUGGGGGAUAACCAUUGGAAACGAUGGCUAAUACCGCAUAAUGCCUACGGGCCAAAGAGGGGGACCUUCGGGCCUCUCGCGUCAAGAUAUGCCUAGGUGGGAUUAGCUAGUUGGUGAGGUAAUGGCUCACCAAGGCGACGAUCCCUAGCUGGUCUGAGAGGAUGAUCAGCCAUACUGGAACUGAGACACGGUCCAGACUCCUACGGGAGGCAGCAGUGGGGAAUAUUGCACAAUGGGCGAAAGCCUGAUGCAGCCAUGCCGCGUGUAUGAAGAAGGCCUUCGGGUUGUAAAGUACUUUCAGUUGUGAGGAAGGGGGUAGCGUUAAUAGCGCUAUCUCUUGACGUUAGCAACAGAAGAAGCACCGGCUAACUCCGUGCCAGCAGCCGCGGUAAUACGGAGGGUGCGAGCGUUAAUCGGAAUUACUGGGCGUAAAGCGCAUGCAGGUGGUUCAUUAAGUCAGAUGUGAAAGCCCGGGGCUCAACCUCGGAACUGCAUUUGAAACUGGUGAACUAGAGUACUGUAGAGGGGGGUAGAAUUUCAGGUGUAGCGGUGAAAUGCGUAGAGAUCUGAAGGAAUACCAGUGGCGAAGGCGGCCCCCUGGACAGAUACUGACACUCAGAUGCGAAAGCGUGGGGAGCAAACAGGAUUAGAUACCCUGGUAGUCCACGCCGUAAACGAUGUCUACUUGGAGGUUGUGGCCUUGAGCCGUGGCUUUCGGAGCUAACGCGUUAAGUAGACCGCCUGGGGAGUACGGUCGCAAGAUUAAAACUCAAAUGAAUUGACGGGGGCCCGCACAAGCGGUGGAGCAUGUGGUUUAAU